GCAAGCUCUCGCCUUGAAGUUGCAUGCGGACCUUAAUCAGAUCCAGAGGAUGAGUAGAGCAGCCAGCAAUAAUCGAAGCAAUCCCACCUUCAACGAAACCUUUGGCACCCAUGGUUAGUAGCUCUCUUUCUCUUUACUCCUCUCUACUUUUUUGAGUUAAAAAUCAAAAAAUAAACCAAUAUUGUGUCAAAAAAAAUUCUAAAAAAAUAAAUCAAAACUAUAACCAGUUGGGUUUCAAGUCACUGGAAACGAGAAGAUGAGAGUGGACGCUAAAAGCUAUAGAAGAAGAGUGAGGGACUGUAGGCCUCUGAGACAUAUGCUAGAGAAAAUAGGGCAAAGAGCUACAAAAGGAUUUGAAGAGAAGGAUGUUUUCGAAAGAAGAGAGUUUAGCGAGAAUAUAUAGGGGUGCAAUUGGUGCAGGCGAAAGGGAAAGGAAAGUGUUGAAGAAGAAUAGAGUAGGGUGCGUAGAAGUGGCGGAGAUACGCGGUUAUGUUGGGGUCCAUGUUUUCAUGUUUGAUGCCCUAAAUUUAGGAAUGAGAGGCGAGUGGACCGGUUCUUUUGCUUUUCCAUCAGUAUUUUAUAAAUUUUAUUUCCCAGUUGUUAGCGUCCUCGGCCUGACUUUGACGCUACUUUUGGACUUCAGGUUAUAUCUGCUAACCCUCCUAAUUUGUUUUUUUCCCACUUUUUUCCCACCUUAUUGGAGUUUCGAGCACUUUUGUCUAUAAAAUUCUACUCCCUUCGCCAAAUACAAGUUGUGUUAAGAUGAUUUUUUUUAAUAUGAAUAUAAAUUAUUUUAAAAAUAUAUGAAAUUAAUUAUAUUUUUUAAAAAUUUUACUCUUAUUUAUAUUAAAUACAAUAAUUAAGGAUUGAGUAAAUUAUUUUUUAAUUAAUGUUUAUUUAAUGAGACAAAAUUCAAUGCGUAUACUUUUUAUAAGACUGAAAUUGAAAUAAAAUAAUUAAUAUUAUACUUUAAUAUUUCAAAAAAUGUCAUUAAAUGAAAAAAAACUGUUAAAUUUAAACAAAUUAUUUUUCAGAGAGAAAAAUACAAGAAAAAAAAAGUGCUUGUAUUCUAGUACUAUCUCUAUUUUAUAAUAUUUAUCACAUUUGAGAAAGUAAUUUAUUUUAAAAUAUUUGUGACAUUUGUGAUUCAAAAGAGUAAUAAAUAUUUUUUUUCUUAUUUAUUCUUUAUAUAAUAACAAUAAUUAUCAUUUCAAUUUAAUGAUUUUCUAAAAAAAUUAAUAUAAAAUUAAAAAUAAUAUAAUUAAUUUACUUAAUAAUUUAUUAUAAUUUAAAUAAAUUAAAUAAUUAUUAUAAGGGACGAAAAAUUUAAAACAUGGAAGCUAUUGUGAACCUGUAUCGGUCUGAUUGGACAGAAGAAAACGCGCUAAGCUGGCUAACUUAUUUAUUGCUGUCCGAAAAAGGUCUUUUCGACUUUGAGUCCGCAACUGCAACCAACCAUUUGCCAACUAAACUCCUUAAUUAUCGAGAGACAAAUAUUAUUUAUUUAGAAAAAAAGGAAAGAAAGAAGAAGAAUAAUAAUGUUUGCAAUUGCUUAAUAACAAACAUAUUUGUGAUUCUUAUGAUAAUAAUUCUUUUUCUUGAAAAAAUCUCCGGAUAAUAGUAUUUUGAAAUAAUUUAAUACAGAAACUUCCACAUAUUUAAUAUAUACAUAUAUAUAUAUAUAUGCUCACAGCAAUUUGAAACAUUGAAUCCGUCUCGUAUGAUAUGCACAAAAGAAUAUAUAAAAAUUUCUGAAUAGUGGAGAAGCAUCAAAUCAACAAUAAAUUACUGAUACGAAGCUUUUAUACGGGGGAGGCUUAAUUGAGGGAGAAAAAGGAGAUGUAGCCAAAUUUCCUAUCUAAUUAAGCCUCAUAUAAGUCAUGAGUCAUGAUCAUGGUUGCCUCCCAUUUGCCCAAAUGGUAUUUGUCACUUGACUUCUUUAACCCACUAUCAUCUAACUCAACACGUUUUUGUUUUUGUUUUUGGGUCAAUGCAUCAAAUUGCUUUAAAGCUUUAGCGUUUUAUUUUUUUGGCAUUCUAAAGUUUUUCAGUAAUUUAUUAUUAUUAUUAUUAUUAUUAUUAUUAUUUUAUAAUAAUAAGCACCUUGAAUCGCAGUCUUUAAAUUUAUUACUAAAAAUUGUUAUCUUUUAACUUUAAUUUUUAAAUUAUUAUUAAACUAUCUUUGUUACAUAAUACUUGUUAUUUUUUAGAAAAAAUUUGCAAGCUUACAUUUAAAAAAAAAAAAUUUAGAAAUCAAUUAGAUUUUCUCUCGUUCAACUAAAUAGUUUUUCUAUUAAUAUUUUGCUGAAUUCUGAUUUGUCAACUAAAGAAAGUCACAAAAUACUUUUGUUUCAAUUUCGUCCUUGCAGUAAAGCUGUCAAGUUUUAUUAUUAAAGUUUUCGAUAAUAAUUUAAUUUGAACAUAUAAUAUUUUGUUGUUUCUAAUGAAUUUCUAUUAAUAAAUUAGGAUUAAUAUUUCAGGUUCUAUUAAGAGCAAGACUGAUAUUUCAUCGCAAUUUAACAAAAAAAAAAAAUCAUAAUAACAAAAAAGACUAUAAGUUCAAUAAUCAACAUGAUGAAGGGACUUCCUAAUUAUUAUUAUUUAAAAAAAAAAAAAAAAAGAUCCUAACUUUUGAAAUUUAUAUAGUAAUCACAAGAACAAAUUGUUACCGUGUCUUCGCAUGAGAAAGUCAGACAGAGGAACAGAGCAGCCCUUAAUUGCUUGUCUUGAUUUUUCUUCGUUUCGCCCAUUGUUAGUCUAUUACCAUGGACAGCCCAAAUUCAUGGGCUUACAGCCUGUAUAUUUUAGGACCUCAUUAAGGGCCCGCAAAUUGGUUAUAACCCCACGCUAGCUACAAGCAUGGCACGUUGGCCAUUGGGUUUGAAAUUUAGUAGAAUUCUAAUCGUCAUUAUUCAAAUCAAUUUUGUAUUUCCUUUUCUUUUUAUGUUGGCUUGAACUAAACAGAUAGAAGUGUUGUUUUCACUUUUUAGCAUGAAGGAUUAAGAUUUUUAAUUGUGAGAGUUAAACUUAAGAAUUCACUUUUUCUAAAUAAUUUUACCUUUACUGUUAUAAAAAAAAAAAACAAUAGUCACCAUAUUAAGGAAAUCGUAUAAAUUUAUUAAUUUAUAAUGUUUAUUUAUUUGAAGAAUAAUGAUGUACUCUGAAAUUAUUAUUAUUAUUAUUAUUUUCUCCGUGAAAGCGAUUGUGGUAUAUAUUUGUAGCCAUCUUAAUACCAUAUCAUGAUGAUAUGUCAUAUUGAGAAUCCUAAUUUCCAACUAAUAUGAAUAUGUAUGUAUCGACUAAUUAAAAUCGUUAAUAAGCAUUGGCAACCGAAACUCGCUGUAAUUUAUUAUAAAAAUAAAUAAAACACAUUCUUUCAAGAGAGAAAUCUGCAGUAACAAAAACUUAACAAUGGCUGAACACAAUUCUCGUAGGGCCAACCGUUCUCUCCCAAAAACAAAACAAAGCAAAGCUUCACGUGUCCUUCCCUCUUUCCCUUAUAUUUCUUUCUCAUUCUCAUUAACCCUAGGGCCUCUCAUCCCCAUAAAAAUCUCCUGCAAACAAAAACUGAAAAUUAUUAUAUUUGUAAGCAAAGCAGGAAACACAAAGUCUCUUUCUUUGUCCCUAACAUCAAACGGAAAUUAUUGACAACAAAAAUCACCAAAUUUUGGUCGGAAAAUCAAGAAAUGGAGCUUCAACAGUUAAUGCACCUCAUUUUGCUCUGGUAUACUAUGCAAACUACCCGUUUGGUCCUUGUGAGUGGAAAUCACACUGCCGCUAGUUUACGUUCUCGCUGAGUCAUUUCCUUUUCCUCUUCCUCUUCCAUCCUUAUUUUCUUCCUUUCCCUCUGUAAAGAAAUAAAAAGAUUUCUUUAGUAUUUCCUUUUCUUUUUACACAUAUAGGCAUUUCUUAGAAACAAUAAAAUUAUUCUAUUUGUAUAAACAUGUCUAUUCAACUUCAACAGGAGUUCCAAUCUUCUAAAUGUCUCAUUAAAAUGAAGGCCUUGCCUUCAACUUGCUCGAAUGGUGAUACGUACUUGAUCAUCAAGCUUCCUCAUUCCAGACUUUUGAAACUUUUCGCUCGAUUAAUUGUUUUGGCUUUCAUUUUUGUUUCGUUCCCAUUGUUUGGAAACAUAUUUGGUCUCCAUUUUCCUUCAUUGUCUCUACCAACAGUUAUUCAGCCUGCAAAACUUAAUCCACUACAUCUUGAUCUCUUGCCUUCCCUUUCCCGUGAUUUAGCAAAUGAAGGCCUUAUUAAAACCGGUGAUAAAGCUGUAUUUAUAAGCAAUGGCGACGGUGGUGAUGAUGCCAUUUAUAGUUCUCAGAUCCUAAAUGAUAAUUAUAAUGUGGAUUUUAUCUCCAUUUCUGAACUAGAUAAGGAAACCAUAAUUUCUAAUGAAUCUUUGGAUUUUGCUAUUAUCUAUAGCUUCAAUGUUGUUCAAGAAUCUCAAGAAUUCAUUGAUCGGGCCCUCAAAAUUGGUGGUAUAUCAGUUAUUCGAUUAAUCCAUCAUGAUCCUUCAUUUGUAUUCAAUAAACCAUAUAAUUACAAACUAGUCUAUAUCAGGAGGUUUCAAUCGACCAUUGUUAUAGCUCUGAGGAAAACAGCUUUCUCUAGUCAUAAUCAUAUAGAUUUCAGCUCACAAAGAAAACUCUUUGCAUAUAGAAGUGAAGCAAGACACGCAGCACUUAACAACCUAGAAGAUGUACUCUUAGAACCACCGCGAUCAGCUUCAGGAAAGUCAAGUAGAUACUUAAAGAAAACGAGGUAUCUACCGGAUUUAUUAGGUGAUUCACUAGAAGGAUAUCCACGGCGUGUGUUUAUCGAUGUAGGUUUGCCGGAGAAGGAAGGAGGAAGUGGCACUGGAUGGUUUGCGAAGAACUAUCCAACAAGAAAUCUUGAUUUUGAGGUGUAUAAAAUCGAGACUUUACCGGAGUCUUGGCCGGGGAAGGAGUUGCCUCAAGUGGAAGAAAUAGGGAUGUCUGGUUGGUUAAGAAAGAAUGUGAAGGAAGAAGAUUAUGUGGUUAUGAAGGCAGAGGCAGAAGUUGUAGAGGAGAUGAUGAAGAGUAAGGCAAUAAGGUUGGUCGAUGAAUUAUUUAUGGAAUGUAAGCCAAGAGGCCAUGGAGGUAAAGGUAAUAACUGUGGAGGUAGAAGGGCUUAUUGGGAAUGUUUGGCUUUGUAUGGAAGAUUACGAGAUGAAGGUAUUGGAGUGCAUCAAUGGUGGGGUUAAGAGAGACAAAAUCUCUUCUUUUACAUUCCCAUUUGCAAUUAUUAUUAUAAUUGUUAGGACUAUUCAUAUGAGAUUGAAUUGGGACAGUCUAAAUUUAUUAGCUAUUUUAUUUAUCUUUUCAAAAAAUUACUGUAAAAAAUUAAUAACAAAGAUGGUUAUUAAUUAACAAAAUUUUGUACAAUUUUUAUUAGUUAACAUUAGUACUAAGAAAAAGGAGAAUAUUUUAGAGUUAUUUAGCAGAUAUUGUUAACACGUGAAUUCAUUAAUAUAGUGUUUGAACUCGUUGACACAUGAAUUUAUUAACAUAACGUUUGAACUAGUGAUAGCAAGUUAAUCCAUAUAACCUACUCAAAUAGUUAGUACUACUUAAAAAACUAAAUGCUACUAAAACAGUUAAUAAUUAUUAAAUCAAUUAAUUUUGCUAAGAUGUUGGAAUUGCGCAUAAGAAUUGCUCCUUUUAUAUGGAUGAAUAAAUAGAACAUAAUAAGUAUAAUUAGCUAAUAAAUAAAACUGAAAUUUAAGAUAUAAACAUCACAUAACACAAUCUUAUAAAAAGGGGCUACAGGACUUUUCCUAUUUAUUAAAUCCACAACCUAUCUUACAGAUAAUUGGGAAACAUAAUUAAUUUUAGCAAACUAAAAAAAGGGAAAAAAAAAAAAAAAAAAAAAGAUACAAAUAAGAUAAAACCUAAUUGCAUAGCUCGCGAGCAAUUCCUAAGCGAGAAUUAGGCACAUCAAACAAGAUCCUAAGGUUCUGUUGUUGCAAAUUGGCUAUAACAUUAAGCACUGAGUUCACAUUAUUUGGCGCUGCAGCCAUAGCCAAGCAAGCCAGUGAGCCUGCACUGCUAUGUAUUAAGCUGUUCUCCAUAGGCAAAACCAAAUUUAGGCCUGUGAAAUGUAGAGUUAUGGCUGGAGCUAAUGCUUCAUUUGUUGCUGUAAAACACGUAUCAAAUGCUCCUAAAGACGAAAAUGGGCCUUUCACUUGUUUCCUAAACUCAUCCCUGAUUGCUGUAUAAAUGGGCUCAAUGAAUCGGGUUAUAACCGUACCUGAAUCAAUAAUGGUUCCAGCUCCCGUAUUCGGGUCAAAUUUUAGAAGCUCUGGGGCAAUGUGUACAUAAACCCGGCCUACGCUAACUCCGGUUAAGUUUACGUAGUAUAAUGAUGGCCGGUGUGGGUUUCGUAGAAGUGGGGUGGUUCUAAUGGCCCUGGGCUGACCCACUGGACCGAGUUUGAGUGAACCCGAGAAGUAAUAGGAUCUGAAACUGGGUAAACAAUAUGAAAAUACACCCGAAUAAAGGGAACUGGAUUGAGAAAGAAGUGAUAAGGAUCCACGGCCCAAACCCAAUAACCCUUGAGGAGGAACUGACCCACCCGAGACAGAGUUUAUGCAUCCAAAAAGAAAAUUGGGGACUACAUCCUUGGCUAAUGAUAACGAAUCUUGCACUAGUGAUGCUGUAAAGGAUGAAUCUCCACCGUAGGAUUGGUUGAAAAGGCAGUAAGAGGUUCCGGUAUCCGGGCAUGAAAAUCCACGGACUUGGGUACAUUGGGCCAUGGAGCAAUCCAAUGACCCGUAAGUAGAAGAGAUAUUUGUAAUGAAUGUGGUGGAGGAGCAACCAGUGCAACCGGAGCAGGGUACCCAAGCAGCAUCAUUACUAGUGUCUAAGACCAUAUUCAUAACUUGACCCGGAGUACCCAAUUUAACCCGAACCACAUAGUUACCAAUGUUUAGAACUUGUUGACCUGGAGCAAUAGGUACAGCGGUGGUCAUUUGGGCUUGUAGACUUGACAAGUACUUUAGCCGUUGUGGGUCUUUAGUGGCCAUGUUAAUGACUGUAUUAAGCAAUGAGGUCUCCUGCUUAUGUGGGUUAAAAGGUGAGCAUUUGCUAUAGAUGGGUAUAAUUGAAAGAUCCGACUCAUCUGCUUGAGAGGCACAUGAGUCAACAAGAGCUCUUGUGCUUGAAAUCAGAAGAGCAAAUAAGAGAAAUCUGGUAAAAGUUGCAGAGUCCAUAGCUUGGAGUGGACUCUCCAAAUUUGGAAAAAGGGCUCUUGCUUUGCUUAGUUAUUGCAAUUGUAGUAUGUGCAUGGAGACAUUAUAUAUACGAAGACGAAGGGAUAUAAAAUUACUAAAUACCCCUUCGAUUAUUGCUUGGGUUUUCGAACAUACAAUGACAUGUAUCUUGCAUGCAAGAUAGAACGUUGUAUGGGGUCCACUUAGAUCAAGAACGACACUUAGAAUAAGCCGUAAAUUAAUCCCAUAUAUCGAGAUGCGCUAUAAAAAAAAAAAAAAAAAAAAAUCCAACUUGCAAAUUGCAAAUGAAAAACAGACAGAAAUAUGCUCUUUUUAAGGCCCAGAAAAUUUAGAAAAGGACAAUGCUUAUUAUAUUUGCUCGAUAAAGAAUGUUGUUGUCUUGUUAAAUCUCUACAGUGAUUCUUGAAAUUAUUAUUAUAUUGUACUACAAAUUUUGACCUUUUAAAAUGCUAUAAGAUUUCAAAAUAUAUAAUGGUGUAUUUAAAUUAUGGGUUCAAUUGUUUAAUCUUAUAGGAAGCUUUAAGCUUUCAAAAUAUAUCCAAAAAAAAAAAAAAAAAAAAAAGAAGAAAACGUUUUAAUGAAGGGUAAAAUGGGAAUGGGAGAUGCGAAGGAAAGCUUGUGAAUUGUGAACCCAUCUGUCUGUCUGAUAAAUGCUUAAAAAAAAAAAAAACUGAACUGUGGGCGUAGAUGGGCCAACGCACGAGAUGCGGUCGGUCACGGGCAUAAACAGAGACUUUUCCAUGACGUAUGGGUCCAUCAGUAUCUUCCUCAUCCAUCCUUUUUCUUAUCAUUCCUCAAAUACAACAAAACCUUUUUCCGUAACUUUGCCACGUGACUUCAAUUGGCUAGAAAAUAUCUAUUAAGAUUUAAGAGAUUCACAAACGCCAACUACUGUCAGUCACCCACAUUUCAGUUCACUCUGCAAAUCAAUGGUUCUUUGGUUGGUACUCGGUAGUAAAGUUAAAAAGAUGAUAACAAUUGAGCUGUGGUUCAGUUUAUUUCCGAAACCGUAAACUUGUAAAUUUAAAUCUUAGUCGGACAGAAUGAACUGAAAAAGGACGCAAUUUUAUGCAACCAAUUUUGAAAUAAUUAAUGAUUUAAAGUUAGAAUUCCUAAUCAGUAAUCAUAGGCCGUUUACCAUAAUAAUGACUAGUUUGCACUAGUAAUAUUCUACUAUAUUUAAACAUGUGUUAAGAUUAAAUUUAAUUUAUUUGAAUCUUCAUUUCAUUGUAUAUUAUUGUGAAGGAAACUAAAUGAUUUUUUAUCCUUUCCAAAGACAAAAAAAAUCAUAUCUAUCUAUUCUCAAUGGUCAUUCCGCACUUUAAUCUUGAAAAGGACUCAAAAGUAAACACACAAAUAAGCCCUAAUCAACCACUCAGUGAUUUUAGCAAAAGCUAAUACCCCACAAAAGUCACGAGGUCUCACUGUCCAAAUUAUUAUCAGCUUGUGUACAGAAGCGGAAUGCUGUGAAAUCCAUCCAUUCUCUGCCUAUCUGUAAUCCAGCAUUUCAAAAGCAAAUAGUCUUGGGACUCUGGUACAUUAUUUUAAGCCAAUGCAGUACCAAAUUACACACACACACAAAAAAAAAAAAAAAAUGAUUUUCAUGCGCAAUUUUCGUUAUUUGUCUCAUCCUUCCUCACCAUGCUAAUUGCUCUUCCUUCGCCAUACACUAUUAGAUGGCAAUAAACCAAAUCAUAAGGAGUCUUAAAAUGUUUGUUUUGUUAUAUCUCACCAAACUAUAAGUCAAAAAGCAUCAAAACUAAAAUCCAAUAAAAAAAAAUCCCACCAGAUUUAAUAAAUGAAUACACAAACAAAUACAACAAAUUUAUAUAUACACAUACACACAUGAGCAACAGCACAAACAGGGAUAAUUUUCACACAUAAGUUUUCCCCCCAGAUUCACUCACAAAAUACAUAAGAGGGAUGGCUAGGCAGAGCUGGACGCAAGUAACAUAAACUGCAUCUCCAAUAUCUCCAUAUUCAACUAGAAGACCGCAUUUGUCAAGGAUGGGCAAAGCACUUCAUAACUACUGCAUGAUUUGAACAGAAUUACAGAAGACAAAAAGUAGAACUCAAGUUAAAAUCUUACCAGUAAAUAAAAUUUAUGAAGUUUAUGGAAUUACAUGCAAAGAUUUCCAUUAUAUAAAUGAUAAGAAAAUAUUUCGAAUAUAGAGUGGUCCACUAAUUUGCUGAAGUUGUUGAAGAUCUAUGGAACAUUGCUUGUUCAUAAAAUAUUUAUCAUAAUAGUAAUCUUGAGAAUAAAACAACACUUAGCAUCACAUUCUUGUAACUGUCAAUCAGAGCAUAAUGUUAUGAACCCUAUAGGUCCAAAGAAAUUCAAUUCAAGCAAAAUACAAAUCCAAGAAUUUGCAAAGGUACUAUUCUGAAUGAAAUCAUGAGUGAAUUCACGAGUGAAUUCUUUACUCUCAAAACUAAAUUUUGUUCUUCCAUAUUUCAAAAGUUUCUUAAGCUUCUCCAGUAACAACAAUCUUUUUAACACGUUCCAUAUGGCUUCUGCAAAUAUUAGACCUGUUCCGUAAAUUCUUAACAUGUUUCCCUAAACUUAACUGAAUUUAAAACUCUUUGGAUCCUUGGGCCAAUUUUAGAUUUCUGACAAACUGCUGACUAUAGGGUUACAUGAGUAUCUUUGUUGCAACUAAAUUUAAACACUGCUUAAUUUUGCAUGAGAAAUUUAAAGUUAGCAGAAACAAUUAAAAUAAGUGUUAACUUCGUUAACAUUUCCAAAAGCAACCCAGAGAAAGGAGGUGAAAAAGAAAAGGCUCCCCAGAGCGCAAUAGGUUGUGCAUUAUGUUUGGCACCAUUAAAACAUACUAGACUUUAUCAUCAAAAGAGGGUAAUAAGAAGAGGGGUUUGGCACUGUUAAACCAUAGCAGACUUUAUUAGUACUUUUACUUUUGCAGAAAAAUAGACAUCCAACACCUAACUCUUAAAGUGAUGAUUAGGAAAACCUAGGAUUCUUAAACAAGGCACUGACUAUGCAGAUUAUAAUAGAAAAUCGGACAUGAAAUGAACAAUAAAGUAAACUAGUUGAAUUUAAAAUCCACAUUAUGAACACAUUAGUCCAACAACUUAAUUGCCUCACAGACAAUGGAAAAUUUCUGAUUGGUAACAACAAUUAAAUUUGUCUUAGAGCACAUAAUAUGGAAGCCUAGACAUGACAAUAAAACAAAGAAAUUUUCAAAGCUAAAUUUAUCAAUAGCACUUCAAAAUGGCAUUACGUAAAGAAAAACAAUAAAUUUGUCAGAUGUAUCAUAACAAGUGGCAGGCAAAGAAAAUAGCAAGUGGCAGGCAAAGGAUGCACCUUGGAGCACAUUCUUGGAAGUUACAAAAUAUUGGCUAAUUAUAUCAUAACAUGGAAUUAAUCUACACAAAAGAAUAGCAAAAACAAUAAUUUUAUGGAAGGCUAAUAGAUGAUAACUUGAAGAAUUAAAGACAUGAGUUGCUUCCAGAAGUGCUCAAAUUAACAAACAUACCUCUUUUAGGUUAUGAAUCUUACACUGAAGUGUCUUUGCCCUUGACUAUAACGACUGGACAUUGUGCAUGGUUGGUGCAAUAGUUGCUUACACUUCCCAAGAACAUCCUGUUAAAAUUAUGCAUUUCAUCACAGUUAGGAUACUAAAGAACCACAUUGACAUAUUAAUCACAUUUUUAUGUUCAGUUAUUGAUGUCAAUUGGAUUAAGUUUGCUUGCCAAAGGCCUAGCAAACUUCAAAUGCACAUCUAAGUUUGGGGGAAAUUAAAUCUAGCAACAAAAGGCAAAGUAGUAAAACCAUCUAAAAAAAUUCAGAAAACUAAACAAAAAGUAAGCCAAACUCAAGUGAAAAAGUAAAACAACAUCAAAAGUUCUAAUAGCAUUUUAUGGUAAGGGAAAUGUUUCUUGAGCAUCUGAAGUGCUCCUCCAAGGACCCUUAGCUUUAUCAUAAAAUCAUUGCAUAAAGCAUAGCAACUUCCUAUCACAUUUUCUCUGUGCAAAAAUAAUCGCUACCUAAAAUAACUCAGCCGCAGCACAUAGCAUAACAUAGAGUAAAAAGAGAUUACCCAGCAAAUAUUUGUCCAUACAUGUAAGUUUCAUGAUCUUUCAUUAAAAUAUCUCUUGUUCAUCUAUGCCCUCAUUAUAACUGCUAUUUCGAGCAGUCUAGCCCUUUUCCAUCGAGGGAUGGAAUUUCCAAAUCAAAUCACUUUUAGAUUUGUCAUUCUUAGAUUCAUUUGUCAUCCUGUGAGCUACCAUCUCUGACAUUUGCACCAUGGCUAACAGGAAAGAAAACUAAUUGCUAAUUGCAAUAUUUACAUUUGUAAUGGUGAAAUUUCACCUCAUAUGUGCAUUAAUAACAACUACAGUUGAAAAGAUGCAAAAACUCUUCAUUCAUCUAACAUCACACGGCCAAACAGAAUAUUAUGAACCCAACGACUGAGAACACCUGCAGAUGAUAAUUCAGAUAUUGAAAAUAAUCCAAGGAUGCUUUGUAAAUCAACAUCCUUUGAGAUAACAUCAGUUUAUCACUUGAACAGGAUUAUUGUCCCUGUCUUUACUCAUUGGAAAAACUACUGGCUAAUUGUUGGCAUAAACACUGCGAACAUCAUUUUGUCCAAAUAAAAUAUUAUUACUUCUGAGUUCUGACUUUGAACUUCGAUUCAAACAAAGCAAAAAUUCUUAGCAUUUCAAAAUAGAAGAUCCAAGUAGUAGGUACUUUGGUCUCUAUCGCCCUAUGUAUAUAGAAAAGUUACCAUGCAGUCCUAAAUCUGAAGUUCUUUAGCUAAAACACUUUUGGCAGAGGUAGCUCUUCUUAUUGGCUUACCAAAAUGAAGUAAUUCUGGAUGGAUAUUGCUAAUGCCCUUAAUUUUUAUGAUGAUGAUGAUGCAUGGUUAUGCAGUUCAAUUACUUUGUAAUGGAUAUACAUAGCCCUAAUAAAUAACCUUAAGCUAUAGCUAUAAAGCAAAUACCAUAUUGUAAAUUUUAGCUUCCUGUAAAAUUCUUUCCAGUAUGUUGGCACAUAAUCAAAUAGCACAACUAGUUGACAAUGGAAAAUAGCAAAUUUAAGGAGCACCCUAACCGGCAACUGCACAAAGGAAGCAGUAAUAUUGAUUAAACUCCAACUACACAACUAAUCUUUUGGGAUCUGUUUUUACCCUGCUAUUACAGCUACUUAUGACAGGAGCACCCUUUCGGAUGCAUUGUUUAUAGCAAGCAUUAUGGACUAAGAUGGAAAUGCAUCACAAAAGCAUCCAAAAAUUGCUUUAUGUCAAAACUUUGAACGGCAUGUUUUAUAAUAUGGACAAUAACCGAAACAAACAGUUCCGAAAACUAUUCAAUCUCCUCAUUGUUUAAUAUGUCAAGAAAAAAAUCAUUUUACUUCCCAUCAAAUUACUGCACAAGGAUACUAACCAUGUUCAUCAUCAAAGCUGAUAUUGAAUAAAGCAUGCUCUAUACAAGAUUGAGUCUAAAUAAUAAUCAUGCAAAUUGUUCAAACAAUGAGAAUCAUCAAACCAUUUCCUUGACUUUUCAAAGCUGUUUGACUUUUCAAAACUUAAAAAACAAGAAUCCAACAUGAUUACAUCAAAUAUUAUUCUACCACUCCAAAUACUUGCAAUGAACCAAAAUUUUCUCUUUGUAUAAUACCUUUUAAUAGGGCCAUAAGAACGACACCCCAUCACAAGCAAAUCAGCACCUGAAUUCUCAACAGCUUCGCAAAUCUUCUCCUUUGGAUCCCCAACAACCACUUGCGUUUUAACAUUCGCCUAAACAAAAAUUAAGUUCCAAUAAAAUAAUUGAUAACUAUUUACCAUAAAAUUGAUAUCCUAAAUUGACUGGUACACUAAAACAAGUAAAUCGGUUUCAAAAAGGAAAAAAGCCCUCACGUUUUUUUCGCUGCAAAUCUGCAAAGCAUGCUCUAAAACAGCUUCGGUGAUCCGCUUCUGAUGCGCCUCAAUCGCCGCCGUAAAGGCAGGCACCUCCAAAUCAGCUAUUAAAUUCCAAAAAAAAAAAAAAUCAAACUAAUCAAUUAGUAAUUAGCUUUAACUCAAGAAAAUCAAAUCAAAACCAUGAACAGAUUCAGUAUCGACUGAAAUAAGCACUAGUAACUUUGGUAUGGAUAGUGGACACUUAACUGGGUCCACCGAACGGAAUAGCGCCGGGAUUGAGACCAGCAGCAAUUGACGGUGGAGAUUGGACAUGGAGUAUCAGGAAGUAGCCAGCGGUUUCAGUGGAGUCGGGCGCAGAAGAUCGAAGCUUGAGGUUGUCGAGCGCCCAUCUCAAGGCGUACAUGCUCUCCUCGCUGCCGUCGACGGCCACGAUCACGCAGCCAAGCUUUUCCGUCGUCAUGAUUGAUUGAUUGUCGAUCUUGAGUCAGGUGAUGUUGACUUUGGAGUAUUCGUUUCGAGAUUAGCAUAUUAGAGAACGGAACUGUAGACAAAAAGAGAAAUUUCGUAACGGAACGAGAGCUAACGACUAUUCGAGAGCGCCAGUGGGGAGCUGCAUGGGUCGACCGGGUUGGUUUUAGGUGACUUGUGGGCCGGCGGUCCAAAUCUCCACAGGCCGAAUAACGCCACUGCAUUUUUGUCUAACCUUGUGUUUUGUUUUGGUUCUGAUUUUCAUUGCAACUUUUACAUAUAUUUCAAAAAGAAAAUUCUUCUUUACAUAAAUAGAAAGUUGUAGCAAAAAAUAAAUUAUUUAAUAAUUUACCCAAAUUGUUGGUAAGCUACUCAAAAUUCAGUUGAUAAAAAAAAAAAAAAAAAAGCUCAUUUACAUUCAUUUGGUAAAUUUAAAAAACCAAGCUUGAAAUUAUUUAUCAAAUACAAUUAAACUGAUAAAUUGUAAUUAAAAUGCAAUAGUUUUUAGGUAUGUGUUUGCUAUUUCGAAAAUGAAAAAAGAAAAAACAGAGAGAGACGGCAGAAACAGGUUGUGGUUUUCAGUUUUCACAGGUUGCCAUUUGCCAACGCCACACUGUGAUAUGCGUUUUGGACUAUUGGGUCAGAGCAUCAAAUCAGAAUCCAGUUUUUGCACCUAUGCCUAUUAUAAUAGUAUCAUCUCCGGAAACGAAUCACCGUCUCGUCUAAGACUGACCUAGUUGAAUUAUGAGUUUUUUUUUUAAAUAUAAAAAAUAAUUUAAGACAAUAUAUAGUUUAAAAAUUAAAAAAUGUUGACUGGCAGCAGAAGCACGUCAAUUGUUUAGGAAAAUAUAUUGCAUGAACAGCUAAACAUUUUCUUUUGGCCCCUCGCAAGGAAAUUGUUCUAUUUACUAUUUAGUGACUUCUUAUACAAGUGAAGGGUCACUGUAAUUUGAUUAAUUAAUGAGUGCAAUUAGCACUUAAAUAUAAAUCCAUUUGCUGACAUGAUAAUAUAAAUAAAUUUUUUCCAAAAAUAAAUAAAUACUGGUAUUGCAAUUUCCUUGUGAAUUUUGGUUCUUGGGACGAGAGGUGAUUUACCCUCAUGUAAUAAAUAACCAAUUUGCAUUGCCAUUACUGCAAUGAAAAAUAUCAUGCAUACAAAAAAGUCCACUUUUUUUUUAAAAUUUAUACUACAUAUAAAUCUAUACCGUGGAAAUAGACUGUAUAUAAUGAAAUUUUUGAUAAUACAUUUGAUAAAAUUUAAGAUAUUUUAAAAUAAUUUUAAUAUCGUAAACAAAAAAAUUAUUACUUCAAAUUAGCAAUACAUUAAUUAAUAAUUACUCUAAUGUAGGACCUAAAAUUCCAAUUUGCUAGCCCAAGGAAAUAGAAAAAGGAUGACAUACUUUUUGGAGGCUCAACCUAAGAUACCACCAACUAAGAAAAUAAUUUCCUGCUUUUUUGCAUCUAUGUAUGAUGGUUUUCGACUGUGCAAAAGUCACUGUAGAUAAAGCUACCGUUACCAAUAUCAAUUUCAAGCCACGUGCAACAAAUCUUUUUUUUUUCCCCAAUUUUGAAAAAUCUUAUUUUCAAAAGUGUGAUUGGCCAACUAUUCAAACCAAGUGCUUGACUAUUUUUUUUUUUCCCCAAUUUUGAAAAAUCUCAUUUUCAAAAGUGUGAUUGGCCAACUAUUCUCUUCAAUAAUUUCAUUUGCAUUAAUUGUAAAAGUCAUUUGUGUAUCAUUUCUUAUGUUGUAAGUUGUAGAUAUUGUGCAUUUAUAUUUCUUUGCGUGUAUUUGACUAUUUUUGCAACAUGCUUGAUAACUCGAGAUUUUGAAAUUAUUCAUUAAUUUACAAGUCAAUUACAUUCAAUACCUAAAUUAGAGAAGUUUGGUAAGAAUUUAAAUCAACAGUUAAUAGCCGACAGAAAUUUAAAUCAAUUGCUUAUAACAUUCUAGAGCUACUAACC
This 15564-nucleotide long non-coding RNA is filed under the name Jatropha curcas. RNAcentral's name for it is "long non-coding RNA (JCUR_LNC000886)". The record is from RNAcentral. Lineage: Eukaryota; Viridiplantae; Streptophyta; Magnoliopsida; Malpighiales; Euphorbiaceae.